RNAcentral lists this ribosomal RNA (561 nucleotides) under uncultured bacterium. Its description in RNAcentral is "bacterial SSU rRNA". It matches the Rfam family "Bacterial small subunit ribosomal RNA", at positions 338 to 915 of the family's 1533-position model. The record is from RNAcentral.
CCUACGGGAGGCAGCAGUAGGGAAUAUUGCACAAUGGACGAAAGUCUGAUGAGCAACGCCGCGUGCACGAUGAAGGUCUUCGGAUCGUAAAGUGCUUUUCGGGGAGAUGAGAAAGGACAGUAUCCCUGGAAUAAGUCUCGGCUAACUACGUGCCAGCAGCCGCGGUAACACGUAGGAGGCAAGCGUUAUCCGGAUUUACUAGGCGUAAAGCGCGUGCAGGCGGUUCGGUAAGUUGGAUGUGAAAUCUCCUGGCUCAACUGGGAGGGGUCGUUCAAUACUACCGGACUUGAGAACGAUAGAGGAAGAUGGAAUUCCCGGUGUAGUGGUGAAAUGCGUAGAUAUCGGGAGGAACACCAGUGGCGAAAGCGGUCUUCUGGAUCGUUUCUGACGCUCAGACGCGAAAGCUAGGGUAGUAAACGGGAUUAGAGACCCCGGUAAUCCUAGCCGUAAACAAUGCAAACUUGGCGUUGGAGGGUUAAUAUCCUUCAGUGCCGCAGCUAACGCGAUAAGUUUGCCGCCUGGGGACUACGGCCGCAAGGUUAAAACUCAAAGGAAUUGACG